CCCUUUUCAGGGUCGCACCUGGAGAGUUUCCAAUACUCUACCAGUCUUGACUGCGGGAGGGAGAGUUAAGCAGAGAUAUAUCCAUUCCAUUUCUAGCUUGGGCAGUGGCUAGCGAGUGGCAGACAAUCUACUACAAGU
Tachyglossus aculeatus (Australian echidna) is the source of this 138-nucleotide small nucleolar RNA. The record is from RefSeq and is a predicted model, not a curated record. NCBI's taxonomy places the organism in Eukaryota, Metazoa, Chordata, Mammalia, Monotremata, Tachyglossidae.